RNAcentral lists this ribosomal RNA (468 nucleotides) under Salmonella enterica subsp. enterica serovar Coeln. RNAcentral describes it as "partial 23S ribosomal RNA". It matches the Rfam family "Bacterial large subunit ribosomal RNA", at positions 89 to 595 of the family's 2925-position model. The record is from RNAcentral. Lineage: Bacteria; Pseudomonadati; Pseudomonadota; Gammaproteobacteria; Enterobacterales; Enterobacteriaceae.
UAUGAACCGUUAUAACCGGCGAUUUCCGAAUGGGGAAACCCAGUGUGACUCGUCACACUAUCAUUAACUGAAUCCAUAGGUUAAUGAGGCGAACCGGGGGAACUGAAACAUCUAAGUACCCCGAGGAAAAGAAAUCAACCGAGAUUCCCCCAGUAGCGGCGAGCGAACGGGGAGGAGCCCAGAGCCUGAAUCAGCAUGUGUGUUAGUGGAAGCGUCUGGAAAGGCGCGCGAUACAGGGUGACAGCCCCGUACACAAAAGCGCAUGUGCUGUGAGCUCGAUGAGUAGGGCGGGACACGUGGUAUCCUGUCUGAAUAUGGGGGGACCAUCCUCCAAGGCUAAAUACUCCUGACUGACCGAUAGUGAACCAGUACCGUGAGGGAAAGGCGAAAAGAACCCCGGCGAGGGGAGUGAAAAAGAACCUGAAACCGUGUACGUACAAGCAGUGGGAGCACAGGUUUACCUGUGUG